AUUGAACGCUGGCGGCAGGCCUAACACAUGCAAGUCGAGCGGAUGAAGGGAGCUUGCUCCUGGAUUCAGCGGCGGACGGGUGAGUAAUGCCUAGGAAUCUGCCUGGUAGUGGGGGAUAACGUCCGGAAACGGGCGCUAAUACCGCAUACGUCCUGAGGGAGAAAGUGGGGGUUCUUCGGACCUCACGCUAUCAGAUGAGCCUAGGUCGGAUUAGCUAGUUGGUGGGGUAAAGGCCUACCAAGGCGACGAUCCGUAACUGGUCUGAGAGGAUGAUCAGUCACACUGGAACUGAGACACGGUCCAGACUCCUACGGGAGGCAGCAGUGGGGAAUAUUGGACAAUGGGCGAAAGCCUGAUCCAGCCAUGCCGCGUGUGUGAAGAAGGUCUUCGGAUUGUAAAGCACUUUAAGUUGGGAGGAAGGACAGUAAGUUAAUACCUUGCUGUUUUGACGGUACCAACAGAAUAAGCACCGGCUAACUUCGUG
This 484-nucleotide ribosomal RNA is filed under the name uncultured bacterium. Its description in RNAcentral is "partial 16S ribosomal RNA". It matches the Rfam family "Bacterial small subunit ribosomal RNA", at positions 30 to 507 of the family's 1533-position model. The record is from RNAcentral.